UGUCGUAAAAGGGGACGCGGAGGAGAAGGAAAGUCGCUCAAGCAGUGGACAGAGCGGAGAAAGCGACUUCGGCCGCAGAGAGAAGAAGCUGCCCAAGAAUGGAAAGGAAGAAAUAUAUCACAUCAUCUGUCUGUCCACAGGCUUUCCUUGGGGCUUAUGAAGUGAAUGAAGGAGGGAAGAAAGGAGAGACAGAGAGAAUGUGGAUUUCCUCAUGGCUGUGAUUCUUCUUCACUCUUUUGAAUUUGGAAGGAUGGCAUACACAUCUGAAAAGUAGUAAGUAAUGUGUGAUUUAUUUUUCAAUUACUAGUUAAUUGUAAUAAAGCUGAAAUUUGAUUACUGGAGGAGUUUGAAAUCAUCAUGCAUGCCUUGAAGGAAAAUGGGUUUUGUGCAACAUUUGCAUUAUUUGGUGUGGAUUACCUUUGGUUUGAUUUAACUGUUUAUCACACAAUUACUGUUGUGAUAAUGAAUGUGUUAUUCACUAUUGCUAAAUUUACCCAGUACAUUCUGUAAAAACUAAGUGUUUGUGCCAUAUAAUAUAUGCAUUCUUAGUACAGCAGUUUAAGAAACAAUGCAAAUAUUGCAGGGAGCUGUCUUUGGAGAUGCUAAGUUUUCUUGUUUUAUUUACCACACAAUCUUCCUCACACAUUUAUAGUUUUAAUUCAUAGUAAUAAUGUUUUCUAAGGACCUUUCUAUUUAUGCCUGAAAUGAAAUUCUAUAAAUUAUGUGAGCUUAUUUCUUUAAAAUGAAUAUCCAGAGAGAGGCAAGAAUUUUUCUGACAUUAUUAAACUGCAUUUUUAAUGCAGUUUAAGUGACAUUUCUUUUAAUCAAACAUUGUAAUUAAAAUAACAAAGCUUUCAUUAGAGACAUUUUUCUCAUUUGGGAAAGUGAAAAGUUCAUUUUUAGCCUCCUAAAAAUAAGACAGACUUAUGCUACCUGAAGACAUGAUACCUUGGAUUAGAGUACAUGCCACAAGUAUUUUUUAAAACAUAAAUUCAGCAUUGGCAUUUCUGAGUAACUACAGUGCAUAUUUUAAAUAAAUAAAUGCCUUAGAAUGAAGCAAUAUGGGGCAGACGUUCUGACGUCUCUGAGAUAGCUUGAACAGUAUUUGCAUUAGGGCUGGCACUGCUAGCAGAUCCUGAGAAUUUCAUGUAGGCAAACAUGAGAUCCUUGUUUCUGGAGACAAGAAAAAAACAAGAUUAAUUAAAACCAAGUCCUAUGUUGUUUAACCCUUAAAAUAACAGUCAGUAUUUAUAGAGAUGCUGAAAUGGGGAAUAGGAUUCAGAUUAUUUCACAAAGGUCUCUGCGAGGGCCAAACCCUCUCCCUUCUAACUAUUCCUCACAUCGAAUAUAAAUUCCUGGAAGUUUGUAUUUAAAAUGAAGUCUGUUUUCUAAGCUUUUGCAGCUGCAGGUCUCUGCCAACUUCCUACAUUUAUCUUUGCUUGUGUUUUCGAGCCAUUUGCUGCCUCCUAAUGCCUAACUUUAAAAUAGCAUGCAUGGCAGCCUGCCAAGACGGUGGCAGUGGCAUAUUGGUUUGUAUUGGUGUUGAAGUUGCAAAGUUUUUGUUACCGAUAAUUUGUAACAAUUGCAACAAAAGAGAUUAUUAAAACCUGAGGGGAUAGGAGACAGGAAGGAGAACAAAAUUGCUGCACUUCUUCAUGAAUCAAAGUGUGGUUCUUCCUGCAAAAGUGAAUUGGGUUGUUGUGUUGUCUACAUGGGUAUGAUGCUCUAGAUGACCUGCACAUUGUCACUGAGGUUAUUGCCUGUAAUCUUAGACUGAUAGAGAAGUGCAGUAUAAAAGAGGGUUUGUCUAGGGGAUGUAAUCAAUUAUACACAUUAUGCAAUUUUUUUUUUCUCAGGCUAUUGACUUAAUUCUUUUAUAUAAAUUAAGAUUGUUGUUAAGUUAAGGUUGUUCCUUUUUUUGUGUUUUAGUUCGUGAAAGAAAAAGUUUAUUAUUUAGGAGUGUCGUGGUUGUUUUGUUGUUAAUACAAAUUAGUACCUGGGAAAUAAUGCUUUGUCUUUUGCUUGCUAGUUUCAUGUCUAGUCAAUCUUGUAAGCCUUUUGCAAAAGUUCUCUUCUAUGUUUCCUUUAAGCACUUUUGGUAAAACUAGAGGUACUUUGUUUUGUUGCAGUUAUGAAAGAUCUCUGUGAAGACAGAGAAAUAGGUUAAGAAAUAGGUAAUUAGGCCCUAAAAUUAGCGAAGGUUCCUGCUUGCUCCACUUAUCAAGGAUUAGCUGUUCUGAAACUCUUGUUAGUAUAGCAAUCUACUAACAAGAAUAAUGUUUGUACCUACCCUGAGAGAAGAGAAAUCCUCUUUCUCUCAGCGUAGGUAUAAACAUUAAGCACCUGCAUUUUGGGGAGCUGGAGAGCUAAUUAUUUUCAAUUACCCAUUGGGACAAAGGAAACCAUCUCACACAUUUUGCUUGUGAACUUCAUAUUCUCAAGUAUAACAACUGAUAUGUUACACACUUUACUUUUUGCUAAGCCAAUACAAAAAUAAAAACAAAUCAACAAAAAUCAUUCCUGGAAAGUUUAGAAAUAUAGAUCCACAAAGAUGAUCCACAGAGAUACCUCGAAAUAUCUUUAAAACUUAUCAGAGGAAAGGAAAUGAGUGACACAUUUGUAAAGACUCUAAGCAUCUGAGAUUGACUUUAAAGUUCUGUUUUUCUUCUAGUAAAAUUAAAACUUUAUUGUGCUUCAUGUCAGAAACUUGGAGCCGCUUUUCCAUUACAGUGAUGCUAUUGAGGUUUCAAUGCUUUCAGGGCCUACUAAUAGAACCCAAAAGUGGAGAGAAGGCUCAUGAAGCACCGUUCCUCUCUGGGUGGAGGUCCUGGUCCCUGCUUAAGCCCUGCCAGUAGAAGCUAUUACCUAAAAGGUGUUCUUUUAUUGUCUUAGGCAGGACAUGCCCAUGCUUUGACAUACCAGCAGGCAAUAACAGAUUGCUUGACUAAUCAAUCUGCAUUCUCUAGGGUUCAGGAUGCAGGAAAGUAUUUGGCCUGGUUUUCACUCCAGCUUUAUAUUGAUGCCUCUGGACUCAUUACCAGCAUCUUUGCACUUUGCUUUCCUCAGGUGUCAAAAGAGAAUGUUAUAUGUCCUUUGCUUGUUUCUUGUCUUGCCUUCUAUGGGCUGGGCAGACAUACUGGGAUAUACUUUUUGGCACAAAUAUGAUGGUCGGUCUAGUUAGCUUAGCUGGUGAUGACAUAAUGACAAAGAAGACAAGACCAACACACACUGAUGUCACUCCUAACCCCAGAUGAGAGCCAACUUUAGAUGACAAAGGGGAUAAAGCAGAUAUUGAUCAAUGCCCAGACCAUUCCAGUUAUUCGUCAGACAACCCUCAGCAUGGCAGCAGCAGCAUCCAAAAGGGAGAAAAAUGUGCCAACUCCCAUCAUGUCUUAAAAUUCAGAAUGGGGAAACUGGGAGCAUAGUAAACAGAAAAAAAUCUAUUUUGUAGCACCACCUUUUACAAGCAUUUUGGUACGUGUUAUAAUACAAUACAGUAGAUAUAAAUAAUGUCCAGAUAAUUAAGAAUAGAGAAAAUAUAAAUUGGUUUGAGACUUAGGAGGGAAAAGAACAACACAAAUAUGAAGACCAUAUUUUUUUACAUUUUUAACAUUUUUUUGAGUCAUAGACUUGGCUCAAGGCUUUUAACAGCUAAAACAAAAGUGGAAAAAAGUCAUCUAGAGGAUGACUUCCAUAUAGUGAGCAUUUUAUACAGCCCUAAUGGUUACAACAACCUCAAAGCCAUCUAUUGUUACCCUUGUUUUCUGGUGGAAAAAAUGCAGAAUCAGAAGGAUUCAGUUACCAGGUGCUGGUUACACAGGCAACAUAUGCCUCUGUGGGAUUAAAUUCAGGUCUCUCUCACUCUCAUAGCAUUGACUUCCUUUGGGUAACGUAAAAGUCAGCUGUUCCUGCAGUCUCCUGCACAUGCAUACCCUAUUUCCGUGAUUGCCCAAGGCCAAUCCAGAAUCACGGAUGUCAGGUCUUCACUGAAGUUCUCUAAUGGAAUCUCCUUUCACAGAAGAGUGAGUGGGCAAUGUGGACUUUACUGAGUGGGAAGUGGAGAGGAUGAGCUUUGCAUAUCCCACAUCAAGCCACUUAAACAUUCCUAUUAAACAUUCUGGUCUGCAAAGUACCUUUUCCAUUUGCUAAAAUUGGAGGUUCCUCUCUUUGAUGCUUCCUUCAUGUUCCACCCAGCUUCCCUAGCUGCUUUCUUCUAUUCCUGCGUCACCCUUCCCUAGCUGCUUUCUUCUAUCCCUGCGUCCCCCUUUCUCUCCUCAUUAAAACAUAAUAGGGAGCAAUAUGGUUUUGCCCCAGCUUCUAAAACUAAGCUUGCAUGUCUAAACCCAGUGCCAUGCUUAACACACCUCCAAAACCCUUCUCUGUGAUAGUUCUUACUUUACUUAGUAGAAAUGAGGAUGAUGUAGCAAUUGAAAUAAUCCCAUUGCACAUUUUACUUUGGGGAAAAACAUACCAGUCUCUUGGCUUUUGAGGCAUUUAGUUUUGAAAAAAUAUUCUUCAGUGGGAUGUCAAGGAGGAUUCAGGGGACAGUGUCUCCAUCAACAGGCAUUACAGAAAAUGUCAUUACUCUUUUGCUACCCCCCGAUGACUGAAUUCAAGGUGCCACAGGAAAAAAAUCUUAGAACAUGUUAGUGUAUACGGGGCCACAACCACAUAAUUAAAGGAUAGCUUUAAAUAGAAAAUUAAGGAUGGAGGGAGGGGUGAAGCUAAGAAUGAGAAAAGAAAUAAAGGAGACUUACCUAUUAAUAGAAUGCUAGAAAUGAAUUUGAGUCUCCCUUUCAGUAUGUACAAUAAUUUCAUUGUAUACUAUAUAGAAAACUAUAUCCUAUAUUUACAUAUUAAAUAAACAAAGUUGAUAUUAUUUAAAUGAUAAUAGAAUGCCGAUGCCUAUAAAGGGAAAGACAGGCCAGAGACCCUGAAGAAUGGAAACCAAGCCUUCUUCAGGCUUAAUAUCACAAAGGUUUAGACUGUGAUAAUACACAUUAAAUCAUGUGAUUAGGUAGUAGGGCAUUUAUCAGUUCGGUUUCUAUGUACUCUUUUAAAAAAAUUGAAAAGAGAAGAAUCAACUGUAAUAGCUCAACAUAUAUGAUUUGUUUUAAGUUUGAGGCAUGGAGUGAAAACUGAGAAGAAACAUUUUAUAAAACCUUUUGAAACCCCAGGUUUAGAAAGCCUUCAGAUUCAUUUGUCUGCACUCAGGUGUAUUUUCUGCAUAGGUUUCCUUUUAAAUUACUCAGGUCUUUACUUCUGCUUUUUGGCUUAAACAGCUGAUGUUAUAUGGUUCUUGGAGCCUUGAACUUGAUUGUCAGCCAGUGUAGCUCUUUUAGGAGAGGAUGUCAAAUCUGCCAGCCAUCCAAAAUUGCCUACAUUGUCAUUGCUCUAAUGAGUAUGUCCUUCAAGAAUCAAUUGGAGGCUAAAAAUAAAUGCCUUUUGAUGUUUACAGACUCCUUAUAAAGUGCUCUGAAACCAAUAUGAAAGAUUAUAAUUUUUCUCUCUCACUAAGACAGUUACAAGAACAGAUUUAAUAAUAUAUAUUUUCUUUUGUCAGAAGAACAAGCUCUCUUAACAAAUAUAUGCUAGAUCAUUAGGGGUGAAAAGACAUGGGCACAGUGACAAAAGUGUGCUAUGAAAAGUAAAACAUAGCUAUUUCCAAUUUCUUUUAUAAACUGAAGGGUAAAGUACUUCAUCCAGCGGAAUCAUUUAGUACCUUAAUAGUUCAAAGGUAGAAGCCAGCAGGACUCAGUGAAAUGAAGAUGUGAGCACAAGAAAAAUUGUGCUCCUCCAGCCUUGCUGUGCAGAAAGUUUGAAAUUUGGCCACAGGUCGCGCAGAAAUUCAGGAUUUCUUUCAUCUGCUGGGUAAGUCAGCUCUGGAAAUAUGGCUCCUUAAGCACACAGCAGAGCCCUUUCCUGUCAAGCCUGCUUGGAUGACUCCUCUGAAACAACUUGGUUUAAAAAAAAUAUGGGGGCUACUAGGCAUGGCCAAAGAGAAAGUCACUUCUAUUUCCUCACAGAAAAUUCAAAACUAGACAACUACUUUUCUGGCAAAAAAAAA
Macaca mulatta (Rhesus monkey) is the source of this 6067-nucleotide non-coding RNA. Lineage: Eukaryota; Metazoa; Chordata; Mammalia; Primates; Cercopithecidae. The record is from RefSeq and is a predicted model, not a curated record.